UCCAGCUUAUCACCGGCAGUUUCCUUAGAGUCCCCAGCAUUAUCUGAUGGUAACUAAGGAUGAGGGUUGCGCUCGUUGCGGGACUUAACCCAACAUCUCACGACACGAGCUGACGACAACCAUGCAACACCUGUGCAGGAUCCAGCCGAACUGAAGGAGUCCAUUUCUGGUCUCCGCGAUCCGCAUGUCAAGAGCUGGUAAGGUUCUUCGCGUAGCUUCGAAUUAAACCGCAUACUCCACCGCUUGUGCGGGCCCCCGUCAAUUCCUUUGAGUUUUAAUCUUGCGACCGUACUCCCCAGGCGGAGUGCUUAAUGUGUUAACUUUGACACCAACAAUUGCUGAUAUCUAGCACUCAUCGUUUACGGCGUGGACUAC
Molecule: unclassified non-coding RNA, 375 nt
Filed under: uncultured Rickettsiaceae bacterium
Lineage: Bacteria; Pseudomonadati; Pseudomonadota; Alphaproteobacteria; Rickettsiales; Rickettsiaceae
Description: contains 16S-23S intergenic spacer region
Source: RNAcentral